This 417-nucleotide ribosomal RNA is filed under the name uncultured bacterium. RNAcentral's name for it is "bacterial SSU rRNA". It matches the Rfam family "Bacterial small subunit ribosomal RNA", at positions 945 to 1359 of the family's 1533-position model. The record is from RNAcentral.
UUUAAUUCGAUGAUACGCGAGGAACCUUACCUGGGCUAGAAUGCCAGUGGACCGUGGGUGAAAGCUCACUUCCCCGCAAGGGGCCGCUGGUAAGGUGCUGCAUGGCUGCCGUCAGCUCGUGCCGUGAGGUGUUGGGUUAAGUCCCGCAACGAGCGCAACCCCCAUCAGUAGUUGCCAUCAGGUAACGCUGGGAACUCUACUGAAACUGCCGUCGUAAGACGCGAGGAAGGAGGGGAUGAUGUCAAGUCAUCAUGGCCUUUAUGCCCAGGGCUACACACGUGCUACAAUGGGAAGGACAAAGAGCUGCCACUUAGUGAUAAGGAGCCAAUCUCAAAAACCUUCUCUCAGUUCAGAUCGCAGUCUGCAACUCGACUGCGUGAAGCUGGAAUCGCUAGUAAUCGUAUAUCAGCAAUGAUA